CCUUCGAUAGCUCAGUUGGUAGAGCGGUGGACUGUAGUUGGUUAUCCAUCAGAAAUCCAUAGGUCGCUGGUUCGAAUCCGGCUCGAAGGA
Molecule: transfer RNA, 90 nt
Filed under: Ciona intestinalis (vase tunicate)
Lineage: Eukaryota; Metazoa; Chordata; Ascidiacea; Phlebobranchia; Cionidae
Rfam family: tRNA
About the family: Transfer RNA (tRNA) molecules are approximately 80 nucleotides in length. Their secondary structure includes four short double-helical elements and three loops (D, anti-codon, and T loops).
Source: Rfam by way of RNAcentral